GGAUAAAGGUGGGGAUGACGUCAAAUCAUCAUGCCCCUUAUGACCUGGGCUACACACGUGCUACAAUGGACGGUACAAAGGGCUGCGAACCCGCGAGGGGGAGCCAAUCCCAUAAAACCGUUCCCAGUUCGGAUUGCAGGCUGCAACUCGCCUGCAUGAAGCCGGAAUCGCUAGUAAUCGUGGAUCAGCAGUACAUUUGAUUC
This 203-nucleotide ribosomal RNA is filed under the name uncultured Sporosarcina sp. RNAcentral's name for it is "partial 16S ribosomal RNA". It matches the Rfam family "Bacterial small subunit ribosomal RNA", at positions 1165 to 1363 of the family's 1533-position model. Lineage: Bacteria; Bacillati; Bacillota; Bacilli; Caryophanales; Caryophanaceae. The record is from RNAcentral.